ACAGAGGUGGCGAGCGUUACUCGGAUUUAUUGGGUGUAAAGGGCACGUAGGCGUCUUGACAAGUUAGGGGUGAAAUCCUGCAGCUUAACUGCAGAACUGCUCUUAAAACUGUUGAGAUUGAGACUGGAAGAGGAAAGCGGAAUUCUCGGUGUAAGAGUGAAAUCUGUAGAUAUCGAGAGGAACACCAGUGGCGAAGGCGGCUUUCUGGUCCAGUACUGACGCUGAGUUUCGAAAGCUAGGGGAGCAAACAG
RNAcentral lists this ribosomal RNA (251 nucleotides) under uncultured prokaryote. RNAcentral describes it as "partial 16S rRNA". It matches the Rfam family "Bacterial small subunit ribosomal RNA", at positions 525 to 775 of the family's 1533-position model. The record is from RNAcentral.